RNAcentral lists this transfer RNA (61 nucleotides) under Takobia yixiani. RNAcentral's name for it is "tRNA-Ala". Lineage: Eukaryota; Metazoa; Arthropoda; Insecta; Ephemeroptera; Baetidae. The record is from RNAcentral.
AGGGUUGUAGUUAAUUAUAAUUUAUGAUUUGCAUUCAUAAGGUGCCUUUAGGCCUGCCUUA